GGGUCAGUAGGUUGGUCGUGCCACCGGUACGUACUGGUCUCACUGACUCCUCCUUCCUGAAGAACCGUAGUGCCAUUAAUUUGGUGUUGCGGGGAAACAGGACUGUUACUUUGAAAAAAUUAGAGUGUUUAAAGCAAGCUAACGCUUGAAUACAUUAGCAUGGAAUAAUGAAAUAGGACGAUCGAUCCUAUUUUGUUGGUUUCUAGGAUUGACGUA
RNAcentral lists this ribosomal RNA (216 nucleotides) under Glomeromycotina sp. Its description in RNAcentral is "partial small subunit ribosomal RNA". The stretch from base 75 to 216 matches the Rfam family "Eukaryotic small subunit ribosomal RNA", at positions 721 to 864 of the family's 1831-position model. The record is from RNAcentral. Lineage: Eukaryota; Fungi; Glomeromycota.